RNAcentral lists this ribosomal RNA (451 nucleotides) under Salmonella enterica. RNAcentral describes it as "partial 23S ribosomal RNA". It matches the Rfam family "Bacterial large subunit ribosomal RNA", at positions 161 to 651 of the family's 2925-position model. Lineage: Bacteria; Pseudomonadati; Pseudomonadota; Gammaproteobacteria; Enterobacterales; Enterobacteriaceae. The record is from RNAcentral. RNAcentral also lists the same sequence under 1 other name.
AAUCCAUAGGUUAAUGAGGCGAACCGGGGGAACUGAAACAUCUAAGUACCCCGAGGAAAAGAAAUCAACCGAGAUUCCCCCAGUAGCGGCGAGCGAACGGGGAGGAGCCCAGAGCCUGAAUCAGCAUGUGUGUUAGUGGAAGCGUCUGGAAAGGCGCGCGAUACAGGGUGACAGCCCCGUACACAAAAGCGCAUGUGCUGUGAGCUCGAUGAGUAGGGCGGGACACGUGGUAUCCUGUCUGAAUAUGGGGGGACCAUCCUCCAAGGCUAAAUACUCCUGACUGACCGAUAGUGAACCAGUACCGUGAGGGAAAGGCGAAAAGAACCCCGGCGAGGGGAGUGAAAAAGAACCUGAAACCGUGUACGUACAAGCAGUGGGAGCACCCUUUGGGUGUGACUGCGUACCUUUUGUAUAAUGGGUCAGCGACUUAUAUUCUGUAGCAAGGUUAACC